UACAGAGGUGGCAAGCGUUGUUCGGAAUUACUGGGCGUAAAGGGCGCGUAGGCGGCCGCCUAAGUCAGACGUGAAAUCCCCAGGCUUAACUUGGGAACUGCGUCUGAUACUGGGUGGCUUGAGUUCGGGAGAGGAAUGUGGAAUUCCAGGUGUAGCGGUGAAAUGCGUAGAUAUCUGGAGGAACACCGGUGGCGAAGGCGGCAUUCUGGACCGAAACUGACGCUGAGGCGCGAAAGCGUGGGGAGCAAACAGG
RNAcentral lists this ribosomal RNA (253 nucleotides) under uncultured bacterium. RNAcentral describes it as "partial 16S ribosomal RNA". It matches the Rfam family "Bacterial small subunit ribosomal RNA", at positions 524 to 776 of the family's 1533-position model. The record is from RNAcentral.